Molecule: ribosomal RNA, 440 nt
Filed under: uncultured bacterium
Lineage: Bacteria
Description: partial 16S ribosomal RNA
Rfam family: Bacterial small subunit ribosomal RNA
Source: RNAcentral
CCUACGGGAGGCAGCAGUGAGGGAUAUUGGGCAAUGGAGGCAACUCUGACCCAGCCAUGCCGCGUGAGUGAAGAAGGAUUUCGGUUUGUAAAGCUCUUUCGGAUGUGAAGAUGAUGACGGUAGCACCUAAUAAAGCCCCGGCUAACUUCGUGCCAGCAGCCCCGGUAAUACGCAGGGGGCGAUCGCUGUUCGGAAUUUCUGGGGGUAAAGGGAGUGUAGGGGGUUUAGUAAGAUAGUGGUGAAAUACGAGGGCGUAACGUGGGCAUUGCCAUUAUAACUAUUAGACUAGAGUGAAGGAGAGGAGAGUGGAAUACCCAGGGUAGAGGUGAAAUGCGUAGAUAUUGGGUAGAACACCAGUGGCGAAGGCGGCUAUCUGGCUUUACAUUGACGCUGAGGCUCGAAAGCGUGGGGAGCAAACAGGAUUAGAUACCCCAGUAGUC